GUGCUCACUUUGGCAGCACAUAUACUAAAAUUGGAGAGAUACAGAAAAGACUAGCAUGACUCCUGCGCAAGGAUGACACACAGAUUUGUGAAGUGUUCCAUAUUUUU
Small nuclear RNA from Jaculus jaculus (lesser Egyptian jerboa), 107 nucleotides. The record is from Ensembl. NCBI's taxonomy places the organism in Eukaryota, Metazoa, Chordata, Mammalia, Rodentia, Dipodidae.